GGGAUAACCCGCCGAAAGGCGGGCUAAUACCGCAUGACACUCCCACGAUUUCGAUCGUGGGAAUCAAAGCCCCGCAAGGGCGUCGGAGGAGGGGCCCGCGCCCGAUUAGCUUGUUGGCGAGGUAACGGCUCACCAAGGCUAUGAUCGGUAGCCGGUCUGAGGGGAUAGCCGGCCACACUGGAACUGAGACACGGUCCAGACUCCUACGGGAGGCAGCAGUGGGGAAUCUUGCGCAAUGGGCGAAAGCCUGACGCAGCGACGCCGCGUGGGGGAUGAAGCUUCUCGGAGUGUAAACCCCUUUCGACCCGGACGAAUGGCCCGCAAGGGACGUGACGGUACGGGUAGAAGAAGCCCCGGCUAACUACGUGCCAGCAGCCGCGGUAAAACGUAGGGGGCCAGCGUUGCUCGGAAUUACUGGGCGUAAAGGGUUCGUAGGCGGUGCGGCAAGUCGGAAGUGAAAUCUCUGGGCUUAACCCAGAGGCUGCUCCCGAAACUGCCGUGCUCGAGUGCGGGAGAGGCGAGUGGAAUUGCAGGUGUAGCGGUGAAAUGCGUAGAUAUCUGCAGGAACACCCGUGGCGAAGGCGGCUCGCUGGACCGCAACUGACGCUGAGGAACGAAAGCUAGGGGAGCAAACAGGAUUAGAUACCCUGGUAGUCCUAGCCCUAAACCAUCAGGACUUGGGGUGCAUCCCGUUUGGGGUGCGUCCCGUAGCUAACGCGUUAAGUCCUGCGCCUGGGGAGUACGGUCGCAAGG
This 753-nucleotide ribosomal RNA is filed under the name uncultured bacterium. Its description in RNAcentral is "bacterial SSU rRNA". It matches the Rfam family "Bacterial small subunit ribosomal RNA", at positions 140 to 893 of the family's 1533-position model. The record is from RNAcentral.